This is a non-coding RNA of Pelobates cultripes (western spadefoot toad), 367 nucleotides long. Lineage: Eukaryota; Metazoa; Chordata; Amphibia; Anura; Pelobatidae. The record is from the annotation of a GenBank genome assembly.
UCACAAUUCAGUGACUAGUCAUGAUUGGCAAGAUAACACAUAAGCAGCUCAGUAAUUUGAAGGUAGUAAUGCAUUUUUAAAGGAUACUCACGGUUUAUAUUAUAGACACAAUAGUUAGGACAUGUAUGUAUAUGGAAUUUCAUCUCCCAGCUAGCUUGCCAGAGUAAUUUUACAAAUUGCAGCUGUUACGUUAGAGUGAGCCUUCGCUAAAUGUUUUGACAGCCCUGCCAGUUGGCUUACAGCCUAAAUUGGUUUAAGUGGGUUUCGUGACUACACAUUGCAUUUUCUGUUUACACAAGCAAAAUGCUGUAUAUUUCUUAGAAUUUAAUCUAAUUAUAAAAAUGUAUCAAGAAUAGAUUAAGUAGGC